RNAcentral lists this ribosomal RNA (441 nucleotides) under uncultured bacterium. Its description in RNAcentral is "partial 16S ribosomal RNA". It matches the Rfam family "Bacterial small subunit ribosomal RNA", at positions 338 to 795 of the family's 1533-position model. The record is from RNAcentral.
CCUACGUGAGGCAGCAGUGGGGAAUAUUGCACAAUGGGGGGAACCCUGAUGCAGCGACGCCGCGUGGGUGAAGGAGUGCUUCGGCAUGUAAAGCCCUAUCGGCAGGGAAGAAGCAAGACGGUACCUGACUAAGAAGCCCCGGCUAACUACGUCCCAGCCGCCGCGGUAAUACGUAGGGGGCCAGCGUUAUCCGGAUUCACCGGGUGGAAAGGGAGCGUAGACGGCCAUGCAAGCCAGGGGUGAAAGCCCGGGGCCCAACCCCCGGACUGCCCUUGGAACUGCAGGGCUUGAGUGCGGGAGGGGCAGGCGGAAUUCCUGGUGUAGCGGUGAAAUGCGUAGAUAUCAGGAGGAACACCGGCGGCGAAGGCGGCCUGCUGGACCGCGACUGACGUUGAGGCUCGAAAGCGUGGGGAGCGAACAGGAUUAGAUACCCUAGUAGUC